RNAcentral lists this long non-coding RNA (310 nucleotides) under Theobroma cacao (cacao). RNAcentral's name for it is "long non-coding RNA (TCAC_LNC005063)". The record is from RNAcentral. Lineage: Eukaryota; Viridiplantae; Streptophyta; Magnoliopsida; Malvales; Malvaceae.
UUUGUGCAUACAUCCUGAGAAAGCCCAGAGAAAGUUUUUAAUGGCUCAGGGCCCUGGAAAGACCCUCCCUGUCCUCUCACCAAGCCCUUGCUGCGGGUGUAAAAGUGAAAAAGCCAGCCAAGAAACUGCAAAGAUAAGCUAAGCUAACUUUAUGUGCUGCUUUCAAUCUUUUCCCACUAAUGGCAAAUGACUUUUGUUGUCAGAAAUCACAAAGUCGGCUCAGUAAUCAACUACCCAUAUUAGAUUCCUAUUAAUAUGCCAACCCAAAAGUUGGAAACUCCCGUGCCAAUGCAAAACUCGAGAGCACACC